CUAAUAUACCAACCAUAGACCAGGCUAAUCUAUCAACCAUAGACCAGGCUAAUUUAUCAACCAUAGACCAGGCUAAUUUAUCAACCAUAGACCAGGCUAAUCUAUCAACCAUAGACCAGGCUAAUCUACCAACCAUGGACCAGGCUAAUCUAUCAACCAUAGACGAGGCUAAUCUACCAACCAUAGACCAGGCUAAUUUAUCAACCUUGGACCAGACUGAUCUACCAACCAUGGACCAGGCUAAUCUACCACUAAUCUACCAACCAUGGACCAGGCUAAUCUACCAACCAUGGACCAGGCUAAUCUACCAACCAUGGACCAGGCUAAUCUACCAACCAUAGACCAGGCUAAUUUAUCAACCAUAGACCAGGCUAAUUUAUCAACCAUGGACCAGACUAAUCUACCAACCAUUGACCAGGCUAAUCUACCAACCAUAGACCAUAGGUUGAUGUCUGGCCUUGGGUUCGAUUUUUUACCAAAAAGAAGAAAUUAUGGUCCCUAAAUGAAACAACUCACACGGUAGUGGCCACGGAUGUUAGGGCAAAGAGUGUUUCUCCUGACAUCAUUAUGUGUGGAAGCAGGCUGCUUUAUAAAUUUACAGAUAAACUUUUCCAGUGAUCACGAGAAAAAUACCCAUACAGUGUAUCCAGGACAGAAGUGCUCAAUAAAAACAUUUUAACUGUUCAUGUUAACAAAAUUCUAAUUACUAAAUACCAGUUGAUAACUAAUAAGAUUGCCUCAUUGUUCCUUGAUGAUUCUGAAAU
RNA transcript from Patella vulgata (common limpet), 764 nucleotides. RefSeq lists it as uncharacterized. NCBI's taxonomy places the organism in Eukaryota, Metazoa, Mollusca, Gastropoda, Patellidae. The record is from RefSeq and is a predicted model, not a curated record. The transcript is spliced from 3 exons.